CGGGCCCCUUCCACGAGUGAGGACACAGGAGGAGCUGGUGACCCGAAGGAGGGCCCCCACCUGACCGUGCUGGCUCCCAGGUUUCAGACUCGCAGCUUCCGGAACUGUCAGGAGAUUAGCUGCAAUGGCCAGUGUCAUGUGAAUUCAUCUAGGGGCACAAGAAAUCUCUCUUCAUGGCAAUGGCAACAGCAUAUGACUUCUUUAGGGACAAGAUGGCUCUGGGCAUGAGUCACGGCCGUACGAUGGGAAGAUUCCGAUGGGAACCUUGCUCUUGCUGGUUGAUCCAUACCUUACAUGGACUUGAGGCCGUGCAUGGCUUUUAUUAAUAUGUGCAUUUUGCUUGUUAAGGCUCAACUUCAUCUUUUCCUUCCGAACUGGAGCCCUGUUUGUAUUUCACAUGCACCUGAUUCAAAAUCUAUCCUUG
This is a long non-coding RNA of Cervus elaphus (red deer), 424 nucleotides long. RefSeq lists it as uncharacterized. Lineage: Eukaryota; Metazoa; Chordata; Mammalia; Artiodactyla; Cervidae. The record is from RefSeq and is a predicted model, not a curated record. The transcript has 3 exons.